GAUGAAGAACGUAGUGAAAUGCGAUAAGUAAUGUGAAUUGCAGAAUUCAGUGAAUCAUCGAAUCUUUGAACGCACAUUGCGCCCGUCAGUAUUCUGGCGGGCAUGCCUGUUCGAGCGUCAUUACGCCCCUCAAGUCCCCUGUGGACUUGGUGUUGGGGAUCGGCGAGGCUGGUUUUCCAGCACAGCCGUCCCUUAAAUUAAUUGGCGGUCUCGCCGUGGCCCUCCUCUGCGCAGUAGUAAAACACUCGCAACAGGAGCCCGGCACGGUCCACUGCCGUAAAACCCCCCAACUUUUUAUAGUUGACCUCGAAUCAGGUAGGACUACCCGCUGAACUUAAGCAUAUCAAUAAGCGGAGGA
Molecule: unclassified non-coding RNA, 358 nt
Filed under: soil metagenome
Description: partial contains 5.8S ribosomal RNA, internal transcribed spacer 2, and large subunit ribosomal RNA
Rfam family: 5.8S ribosomal RNA (bases 1-120)
Source: RNAcentral